CCUACGGGUGGCAGCAGUGAGGAAUAUUGGUCAAUGGACGAGAGUCUGAACCGGCCAAGUAGCGUGAAGGAUGACUGCCCUAUGGGUUGUAAACUUCUUUUAUAUGGGAAUAAAACGUUCCACGUGUGGGAUUUUGUAUGUACCAUAUGAAUAAGGAUCGGCUAACUCCGUGCCAGCAGCCGCGGUAAUACGGAGGAUCCGAGCGUUAUCCGGAUUUAUUGGGUUUAAAGGGAGCGUAGGUGGAUUGUUAAGUCAGUUGUGAAAGUUUGCGGCUCAACCGUAAAAUUGCAGUUGAAACUGGCAGUCUUGAGUACAGUAGAGGUGGGCGGAAUUCGUGGUGUAGCGGUGAAAUGCUUAGAUAUCACGAAGAACUCCGAUUGCGAAGGCAGUUCACUGGACUGCAACUGACACUGAGGCUCGAAAGUGUGGGUAUCAAACAGGAUUAGAUACCCCAGUAGUC
RNAcentral lists this ribosomal RNA (460 nucleotides) under uncultured bacterium. RNAcentral's name for it is "partial 16S ribosomal RNA". It matches the Rfam family "Bacterial small subunit ribosomal RNA", at positions 338 to 795 of the family's 1533-position model. The record is from RNAcentral.